Molecule: long non-coding RNA, 307 nt
Filed under: Lupinus mutabilis
Lineage: Eukaryota; Viridiplantae; Streptophyta; Magnoliopsida; Fabales; Fabaceae
Description: partial ncRNA
Source: RNAcentral
CUGAUGAGGAAAAAAGCUUCAAAAUUGAAUUUUGGAGGAGAAUUGUGAUGACAGAGUUAGAGAGAGAGAAAAAUGGAGGGAGAAGAUGGGAGCUGAAGAAGAAGAACGGCGUGGAUCUAAGCCGAGAGAGAAAGAAGGAACAAAGAGAUUGAGAGGAAGAGUUUUUUGUUGAAGCCGAGUUGAAAAAAAGAAGCUUUAGAUCUGUUUCUCUCUCUUUCGUAUGCUGCGGCUUCAAGACAGAGACAGAGAAAGAAAAGAAACAACAAAAGCUGUUGUCUUUGUUUUGUUGGCUCAAUCUUUGUUUCAC